Molecule: ribosomal RNA, 824 nt
Filed under: uncultured bacterium
Lineage: Bacteria
Description: bacterial SSU rRNA
Rfam family: Bacterial small subunit ribosomal RNA
Source: RNAcentral
UGACUNGAGUGCAGAAGGGGAGAGUGGAAUNCCAUGUGUAGCGGUGAAAUGCGUAGAUAUAUGGAGGAACACCAGUGGCGAAAGCGGCUCUCUGGUCUGUCACUGACGCUGAGGCUCGAAAGCGUGGGUAGCGAACAGGAUUAGAUACCCUGGUAGUNCACGCCGUAAACGAUGAGUGCUAGGUGUUAGGCCCUUUCCGGGGCUUAGUGCCGGAGCUAACGCAAUAAGCACUCCGCCUGGGGAGUACGACCGCAAGGUUGAAACUCAAAGGAAUUGACGGGGGCCCGCACAAGCGGUGGAGCAUGUGGUUUAAUUCGAAGCAACGCGAAGAACCUUACCAGGUCUCGACAUCCCGAUGCUAUUCUUAGAGAUAGGAAGUUACUUCGGUACAUCGGAGACAGGUGGUGCAUGGUUGUCGUCAGCUCGUGUCGUGAGAUGAUGGGUUAAGUCCCGCAACGAGCGCAACCCUUAUUGUUAGUUGCCAUCAUUAAGUUGGGCACUCUAGCGAGACUGCCGGUAAUAAACCGGAGGAAGGUGGGGAUGACGUCAAAUCAUCAUGCCCCUUAUGACCUGGGCUACACACGUGCUACAAUGGUCGGUACAACGAGUUGCGAGCCGGUGACGGCAAGCUAAUCUCUGAAAGCCGAUCUCAGUUCGGAUUGGAGGCUGCAACUCGCCUCCAUGAAGUCGGAAUCGCUAGUAAUCGCGGAUCAGCACACCGCGGUGAAUACGUUCCCGGGCCUUGUACACACCGCCCGUCACACCACGAGAGUUUGUAACACCCGAAGUCGGUGAGGUAACCUUUUAGGGGCCAGCCGCCUAAG